This is a long non-coding RNA of Lolium perenne, 688 nucleotides long. RefSeq lists it as uncharacterized. The record is from RefSeq and is a predicted model, not a curated record. Lineage: Eukaryota; Viridiplantae; Streptophyta; Magnoliopsida; Poales; Poaceae.
CUGUAACGAAUGAGCCAAUGCAAGCAAUGGAAAUAUUUGAGUUUGUUAGAGAUAUAUAUUGUUUUCCAAAUAUUUUAAUUGCUUAUCGUAUUUUGUUUACUGUACCGGUGACAGUAGCAUCGGCUGAGCGUAGCUUUUCUAAGUUGAAGUUACUAAAAAACUAUUUAAGAUCAUCAAUGUCUCAAGAAAGAUUAAAUGGUCUGGCAAUUUUGUGUAUCGAGAAAAAUAAGUUGGAUGAGAUAAAUACGAAUGCAAUUAUAAACGACUUUGCUUCUAGAAGUGUUAGGAGAAAUGGCAAGUUCUGAAUUCAAUUUGCUAUACUGUGACUUGCACACGAAGAGGAAGCUUUCGAAAAUUGGUGAAGAAUAUGGAGUGGUGGGCAUGAUCUAAAUAAAGUCUUACUGUAAAUGCCCCUCUCUGGUUCUCUUUUAAGUAGGAACUGCGGCGACUUCAUCUCCUAUCUAGAUUGAAGAAAGACAUGUUCUGCCUUGUCAAUCCUAGUUCCUAGCAAAGCGGAACUUUUGCGGAAGCAGCGGAAUCAUGAUUAGUUCGCUUGAUUGAGACAAAUCAAAAAUAAUAUUAUUUUUAGAGUGAUGCUCUGUCAUUUUGAGAGUUCAAAACAUUAUGGAUCUAUGAUAUGUACUGAAUAUUCUUUGUUAUUGAAAUAUGAUGGUUUUUUAGGUUGCAA